UUUUUACAUGUUUGAGUGUUUCUAUUGAGUCUUAUUUCAAACUUUUAUUUUCUUAGUCUUUUUAAAGUUUUGUCUACAACAUCUCUUUUCCUUAAUGUAUGAAUUCUUAUUUUGUAUUUUUCUUGUUUGUCUUAGGAUAUUCUUAAGUUUUGUCUUUGUGGUUUUUCUUCCUUGAACUUUUUUAAGUGAUUGGUUGGUGUGCAUAUUUCCAUUCGAUUGCAAAUUUUCCAAGAUUUUGGACUUGAGGAAUUUGAACAUUCUUGAAUUUUGGCUUGACAGUUUCAAUGAUCCCACCCUUGAAAAUUUGGUUAGUUGACUAAACAAUUUGAGAGUUUAUUUGUUUUCUUAUUUUAAU
Molecule: long non-coding RNA, 355 nt
Filed under: Vigna radiata
Lineage: Eukaryota; Viridiplantae; Streptophyta; Magnoliopsida; Fabales; Fabaceae
Description: long non-coding RNA (VRAD_LNC017940)
Source: RNAcentral